GAUGAACGCUGGCGGCGUGCCUAAUACAUGCAAGUCGAGCGAACGGACGAGAAGCCUGCUUCUCUGAUGUUAGCGGCGGACGGGUGAGUAACACGUGGAUAACCUACCUAUAAGACUGGGAUAACUUCGGGAAACCGGAGCUAAUACCGGAUAAUAUUUUGAACCGCAUGGUUCAAAAGUGAGAGACGGUCUUGCUGUCACUUAUAGAUGGAUCCGCGCUGCAUUAGCUAGUUGGUAAGGUAACGGCUUACCAAGGCAACGAUGCAUAGCCGACCUGAGAGGGUGAUCGGCCACACUGGAACUGAGACACGGUCCAGACUCCUACGGGAGGCAGCAGUAGGGAAUCUUCCGCAAUGGGCGAAAGCCUGACGGAGCAACGCCGCGUGAGUGAUGAAGGUCUUCGGAUCGUAAAACUCUGUUAUUAGGGAAGAACAUAUGUGUAAGUAACUGUGCACAUCUUGACGGUACCUAAUCAGAAAGCCACGGCUAACUACGUG
This 497-nucleotide ribosomal RNA is filed under the name uncultured bacterium. RNAcentral describes it as "partial 16S ribosomal RNA". It matches the Rfam family "Bacterial small subunit ribosomal RNA", at positions 28 to 507 of the family's 1533-position model. The record is from RNAcentral.